UACGCAGGGGGCUAGCGUUGCUCGGAAUUACUGGGCGUAAAGGGCGCGUAGGCGGAUAGUUUAGUCAGAGGUGAAAGCCCAGGGCUCAACCUUGGAACUGCCUUUGAUACUGGCUAUCUUGAGUUCGGGAGAGGUGAGUGGAAUGCCGAGUGUAGAGGUGAAAUUCGUAGAUAUUCGGCGGAACACCAGUGGCGAAGGCGACUCACUGGCCCGAUACUGACGCUGAGGCGCGAAAGCGUGGGGAGCAAACAGG
RNAcentral lists this ribosomal RNA (253 nucleotides) under uncultured bacterium. Its description in RNAcentral is "partial 16S ribosomal RNA". It matches the Rfam family "Bacterial small subunit ribosomal RNA", at positions 524 to 776 of the family's 1533-position model. The record is from RNAcentral.